UAUCUGAUGGUCCUCUGACUGAUGCGGC
This 28-nucleotide small RNA is filed under the name Bombyx mori (domestic silkworm). RNAcentral's name for it is "ovarian small RNA-23779". Lineage: Eukaryota; Metazoa; Arthropoda; Insecta; Lepidoptera; Bombycidae. The record is from RNAcentral.